RNAcentral lists this long non-coding RNA (1935 nucleotides) under Homo sapiens (human). RNAcentral's name for it is "HSALNT0401405". Lineage: Eukaryota; Metazoa; Chordata; Mammalia; Primates; Hominidae. The record is from RNAcentral.
UCAUCACCACCACCACAAAUCACCAUCAUAUCACCCUCACUUUCAUCAUUACCACAAUCACCAUCAAUAUCACCAUCCCCUUCACCAUCACUACCAACACAGCCACCAUCAUCAAUAUCACCCUCAACUUUAUUAUCACCUCCACCAUCAGCAGCAGCAUCAACUUCAUCAUCACCAUCACCACCUCUGCCAUCAGCAGCAUCAUUAUUAUCUUCAUCAUCAUGGUUUCAGCCACAAUCGGAAUCAACAGCCGUCACCCAGAGUUGAAGGAGGUGUCACCCACUCAGAGAACACCCCUGACCUUCCCAAGGAAGCCCUCUGCACUCCGACGCCAUAUACCCGUGAUCUGCACAGGACUGUCACCAUCUGGAAUUGAUUGCCUCUCUUCCCGUUUUGCUAUUGUCAUUUGCACCCACAGGAAUGUCACCCACAUGAGUGUGGAAUUUCAUCUGUCUGUUCGCUGCUGGAUCCCUGCUCUAAGUAAGAAAAGGACCUGUGGCAGAGUGAGCUCUGGAUGAGGAUUUGCUGAGGAAUUGAAUGAGGGAAAGACUCAGAGAAUGGAAUGCUGAGAAUUCUACAAUAAAUAUUUGAAUCCUAGAGUGUUGGAGUCAGGAGAAGCCCUCGGAAGCCAUCUAGACAAACCCAUUCAUUUGCAAAGGGGUAAACUGAGGCUGAGGAGAAAAAAGUGACUUGCUCCACAUCCCAAGGCCUGAGGGUCUUCUCCCUGCUCUGAUGGGAGAGGGACCCCCUUUGUGCUGUUGUGGGUAAAAUGGUGAUGUGUGGCUGGAGGGUGAAGGGGCUUCUUCUGCCCUUUGACUCAUUGCCUAGGAAAAUAGGGACAAAAGGCGCAAAUUUUUUCAAAAUGCAAACAACUAAAGACAACGUCAUUCAGUAGAGACAAAGUGGGUGUUUGGGUUGACAGAGAAACAGAAAAGCUUCCCUGAGGUUGAGGAGGGAAGAGGGGGCUUGAAGGUGGGUGAGCCCCAAAUGUGACCUUCAACUCCUGGGAAGCUGUAGGCAAGGACAUAGCCAAGGCAAAACCAUCAAGAAUGUAAUUCACCAACAGAAACAUUCACUGACCACCCUCGGGGCCUGAAGGUCUUUCCAAAGCCUUGCUGCUGAGCACAUGAUGAACUUCAAACAAUAGCGAAGUCAGGAGCCAGGCGCUGAUGACCCCCAGGAGGAAGCUUGCAGAGGAUGAUGGGACAGAGGGGGAUGGGCAGGAGUCUAAGCAGGCGCUCAGGGAGGCCGCUUUCGUCAAGGAUGCUGAAAGAAUGGGGGUCUCAUGGAUUCUGGGAGAGAUGGUCCAAGGCAGAGGGACAGCCAGUGUGGGCCUGGAAAGAUGUGUGCCGCAUGUCUGAGGGGCAGGGGCCAAUGUGGCUGGAGGUAGAUGGGAGAGGAGGACACUAGGGGCUGAGGUCAGAGGGGACACAACUGGAUCUGUGCGAGACCUUGCAUGCCACUGAAAGGGCGCUGGCUGUCACUGUCGUGACCAGAGCCUCUGGGCAGGUCUUCACAGAGGUCAGGCUGACUGCACUUGCGGAUGGAUUGAAUAGCAGUAGUUAGAGGACAGCAUGCAUGGCUCAGGGAGGAUUCCCAGGAUUUGGGAUGCACAGCUGGAAGAAGGGAGGAGCUCCUGAAUGAGGAGUGGGAGGUCCGGGAAGGGCAGCCUUGGUGGGGAGAGACGCCGGGACCUGCAGAGAAACUCCCUGAAAAGAACAGGGCUGAGCCAUCUUUACCCCAGGCUCAGGACCUUCCUUCGCUGUAACUGCCAGGACAAUCCACUGUGCUGUCACUCAGAGAGCGAAACCAGCCUGACUUUGCACCUGUGUCUCCAAGGGAUAAAGGUCAAUGUCACAGCAGACUCCACUCUGAUGCUGUCUUCAAGCCAAAACCUUAAUAUUCAAUGAGAAAUCUGCAUUGAUGAAAUUUUCA